GCCAAUGUAGCUUAUUUAAAGCAUGACACUGAAGAUGUUAAGAUGAGCCCUAAAAAGCCCCGUGGGCA
This 68-nucleotide transfer RNA is filed under the name Acropoma japonicum. RNAcentral's name for it is "tRNA-Phe". It matches the Rfam family "tRNA". Rfam says of the family: Transfer RNA (tRNA) molecules are approximately 80 nucleotides in length. The record is from RNAcentral. Lineage: Eukaryota; Metazoa; Chordata; Actinopteri; Acropomatiformes; Acropomatidae.